GCAAUGGGAGAUGUUUUAAAAGCCCCACAACAUAUUCUUAAUGCUUGAUUCUGCAUUGUUUCAGAAUAGAUUCAGACGCGAAUCCAAAAAUAAUACUUCGAUAACCUAAACUUGGUCUGAUUAAUGUACAGUAAAUUCUUUUCAAGGAUAAUCUACUAGCUCCCCAUUCUACCCCGGAUAAACAUCUUAAAAUGUUUACCCCUUUCUUACAUUUAUUAAUCAACUUUUUAGCAUGAGUUGCAAACAUCAAUCUAGAUUCCAUCCACACACCAAGAUAUUUAACUACCGGGACAUAACACGUCAUUCUUCUUCUUCUUCUUCUUCUUCUUCUUCUUCUUCUUCUUCUUCUUCUUCUGGUGUUUAUUCAUAGAUAUCUAUACAUAUUCAUAGAUAUCUAGAUGUCGCCUUGGGGUCCUAAAAAUGCGUCAAAACCGCCGCCAUCUUUAUAUGGUGCUCUUGUACUUUAAAUCAUGGAUGAUGCCGGACUUCUAUGCUGCGUUUGGUUGUUCAAACGAAAGAAAUCUAAAAAUCAGACAGCAAGGGAUUACAUUACACAACGCUUCCAAAUCAUCUGCAGCUGAGGCCAAUUAGCGGCAGCGUGGCUUACCUGCUAUGCGGCGUGCUGGGGAGAUAAAACAGGAGAGAGACACAGCGCAAGAGAGAGGCUUUUCUUAUCCGCUAUCCCAGCACCGUGGCUCUUGUGGCUGCUAUUAAGCAAUUGGACAUAUGUAAACAAAGUGUUGAUGUGUGAGUCUGCCUUUGUCAACCUGUGUAGGGAGUUGGGCGCCGAUUUAUUUGGGUUUAUAUUCCCUUUCUAUAUUUUUUUCACCUGUUUUUCGUUAGUCAGGGAGAGAGGUAAGACUAUUGUCUUUAAUUUUAUUUUUAUUUUGGGCAGGGAAGUUAUUUGGUUAACAUUUAAGUAAGUUUCUUUUGUUUGUUGUUUUCGGCAUUUGCUCUCUCCUGACGCUUUGGGUUGUUUAGGCGUAUUUAUAGUUUGUAUUCAUUGUUUUUGUUAUGCCCUGGACAAUAAACAAAAAUUAUAAUAAUA
Molecule: long non-coding RNA, 1048 nt
Organism: Tachysurus fulvidraco (yellow catfish)
Lineage: Eukaryota; Metazoa; Chordata; Actinopteri; Siluriformes; Bagridae
Exons: 2
Source: RefSeq, a predicted model, not a curated record